This 260-nucleotide ribosomal RNA is filed under the name uncultured bacterium. RNAcentral's name for it is "partial 16S ribosomal RNA". It matches the Rfam family "Archaeal small subunit ribosomal RNA", at positions 744 to 1004 of the family's 1478-position model. The record is from RNAcentral.
GUCCUAGCCGUAAACGCUGUCAGCUAGAUAUGGCGCAAACUUCGGGUUUACGCCGUAUCGAAACGAAGGUGCAAGCUGACCACCUGGGAAGUAUAGUCGCAAGGCUGAAACUUAAAGGAAUUGGCGGGGGAGCACUACAAGGGGUGCGGCGUGCGGUUUAAUUGAAUUCAACGCCGGAAAUCUCACCAGGAGCGACGGCAGGAAGAAGGCCAGUCUAAAGGGCUUGCCUGACGAGCCGAGAGGUAUUGCAUGGCCGCCGU